RNAcentral lists this long non-coding RNA (248 nucleotides) under Mytilus galloprovincialis (Mediterranean mussel). The record is from RNAcentral. Lineage: Eukaryota; Metazoa; Mollusca; Bivalvia; Mytilida; Mytilidae.
GAUCUGGUUAAAUGUCUGCUAUUGCUGCGCCAGAAUUUUCCAAACAAUUUGGUUUUCCCAACAUGCAUGUAUUGUAACAGAUUAACAAUAGAGUAGAAACCAGAAAAUGAGCAGGCAUUAUAACAGAUUAAAAUUAGAGUAGAAACCAUGAAAAUGAGCAUACAAAUAAAAGUAACAAGGGAGGAAAAAAAAAAAGGAUUUAAGGAAGGAAAUUAUAGACUAUUUGAAUACUGCAAUCAAAAGCUCCA